This 403-nucleotide ribosomal RNA is filed under the name uncultured bacterium. RNAcentral describes it as "partial 16S ribosomal RNA". It matches the Rfam family "Bacterial small subunit ribosomal RNA", at positions 30 to 526 of the family's 1533-position model. The record is from RNAcentral.
AUUGAACGCUGGCGGCAGGCCUAACACAUGCAAGUCGAGCGAGCGGCGGACGGGUGAGUAAUGUAUGGGGACUGCCCGCUAGAGGGGGAUAACUACUGGAAAAGGUGGCUAAUACCGCAUACUGUCGCAUAACCCAUAUGGGAUUAGCUAGUAGGUAAGGUAAUGGCUUCCCUGGGCGACGAUCCCUAGCGGGUCUGAGAGGAUGAUCAGCCACACUGGGACGGAGACACGGCCCAGACUCCUACGGAGGCAGCAGUGGGGAAUAUUGCACAAUGGGCGCAAGCCUGAUGCGGCCAUGCCGCGUGUAUGAAGAAGGCCCUAGGGUUGUAAAGUACUUUCAGUCGGGAGGCGUUACCGACAGAAGAAGCACCGGCUAACUCCGUGCCAGCCGCCGCGGUAAUAC